CUCUGGAUCCACUUGAUGGUUAACCUUUGUGGAAGCAUCUCUCCAAGUCACCUGAUGUGGCUACUGACAAAGCUCUUUUGUACUCAGGCUCAGAGACGCUGGUGAACAGCUGGUCCAAGUCCCCACUGUGCUGAUAUGGUAGCCACAAUGAUGGGCUGAAGUGAAAAAUACAGGUUGAGAUUUUCACCACGGAUUGCAAUACCUGUGGGCUCUUCUUAGACUUAGGAGUUAUCGCAAGGAGAGAAGAUCUGGAAAUGAUUGUUCUUCAAAGCUGUGAUUGAAGAGAGGGAGUGUUUUCCAGUUCUUCUCCAACUUCUUUUCUUUCAGAGUGGCUAUGCAGCUUGGUGGUCUAGAACCACUGUCAGAUGCUGGAGCCCAUAGGGUGGCUGCAAACCAUGGCUGAAUGUUAUGAAAUAGAUGAGUGAUGUUGAACAGCAGCUUGACUCAUUGAAUCUUCACCAGAGCCCUGUGAGGGAACAUCAAUUCUGCAACUGGGUUCUGAUUUACUCUACUGUGGCGGCAAGAAUGUUCUGGGGGCAAGACCUUCAAUCAGCACUUAAUUUGGAGGUCCUACCAAGACGGCUCAACUCAUGAGAACCUACGAUAAUGAAGAAGAAAACAGCCCUGAAACAAGGAAUAGCACACUAAGAAUGACAUUGAAAACUUGGAGAGGGAGUUUGGAGCCAAAGUAUUGGAUGUCCCCAUGAUUUGGGCAAUUACAGUGAAUGGGACCAUCUUCUCUCCUCCUAUAAGUUCCCGGAAGUUACUUGAUGUCAGAAGGACGUCAGAGGACUGAAGAAAAGGUGAGUUGAGUUUGAUGUUCUACUCUUUUGGUCAGUGUAUGAUAUUAUGCUACUAAGGGAUGACUGAAGCCCCUAGCAAAGACAGGGUGUGAAAGCACUCAUUUAUUAAGUUGGUUGCAGGAAGUUAUUCUGUUUCCAGUGAAACACUGAAGUCAAGGACUUUGUGACUUAUUUUCAUUUUUCUUUUACCUAAAAUUGUAUAAUUGGCCUGGCUAUUUUUU
This 1024-nucleotide long non-coding RNA is filed under the name Canis lupus familiaris (dog). Its description in RNAcentral is "lncRNA (ENSCAFG00845027107.1)". The record is from RNAcentral. Lineage: Eukaryota; Metazoa; Chordata; Mammalia; Carnivora; Canidae.